UACGUUUUAUUAGUUAAUUACUUAUUACAUGUACAAUGGAAAACGCAUUUUCGAAACGUCUAUCUCUCUUUCAAACAAAUCCACGCUAUUUCACAUUUCACUCCCGUCAAAGAACACUCCAAUCACAGCACAGAGCGCUUUAUUUAAUCCGAUUACAGAUGUUACCCGUAAACGCUACACCAACUCAGUCAAACGAACGUAUCCUUCGAAUGUGAAAUCAGAAGAAGGAGGAAGUAAAUAAAUAAAUGGAACACGAAGAAAGACACACGUUUGAUCGCCUCACUCUCGUUCAACCCUCUAUUUUGUGGUGGUAUCACUCUGCUCCAGAACCCGCUUUGAACUACUUUACAUAAUAAACCUCAUGUCCGAACGGCGCAAGGAGACGUUCAACCUAAUUCAUGACAGUGCCAUCGUGCCAAGUGGCUGACAUCAAUUAAAUAAAGAUUCUGACACAUGUCAAGGUUGCUCCAAGUUGCACCUCGUCAACGCAUCGUGUCGCUCUGGCAUCGACGACGAUGAUACUACUUUACAUAAACCGUGUUAGGUUUCUUCGUCCCUUGACCGCGAGCGACUGCUCGUUAAAGAAUCAUGCUCGUUUAUGUAA
This is a long non-coding RNA of Eufriesea mexicana, 604 nucleotides long. RefSeq lists it as uncharacterized. The transcript is spliced from 2 exons. Lineage: Eukaryota; Metazoa; Arthropoda; Insecta; Hymenoptera; Apidae. The record is from RefSeq and is a predicted model, not a curated record.